GUGCUGGCUUUGGCAGCACAUAUGCUAAAAUUGGAACAAUACAGAGGUUAGCGUGGCCCCCGUGCAAGGACUACAUGCAAAUUCGUGGAGUGUUCCAUAUUUUU
Molecule: small nuclear RNA, 104 nt
Organism: Neofelis nebulosa (Clouded leopard)
Lineage: Eukaryota; Metazoa; Chordata; Mammalia; Carnivora; Felidae
Source: RefSeq, a predicted model, not a curated record